CUUGCUUACUCCAUUUGUUGUCUCUCUCUAUCCCUCUCCUCUCUCUUUCUCUGGCUGUGCUCUGUCUGUCACUGCACUCUUGAGAGUGAGAGAGAGGUUUAUGGUGAUAUGGAAGGAGUUUGAGAUUUUAUUUUUUUCAUGGUAUAAUGAGAAGACGAAUUAAUUUCUUUUUUCUUGAAGAAGAUGGCUCUGGAGGAGAAUGUACAGCUUCCCAGCUCAGCAUUGGUUCUUGAUGGGUUAUACUGUGAAGAGGAGGGCAUUGAGGAAGAUUAUGCUUGCGUUGAUGAUUGUAGUGAAGUUUAUGAUCAGGUUGUGAGAAAGGUGUCACCUUUUUCUGGUGUUUUGCUUGAACAAGACUUGUUUUGGGAAGAUGAUGAGCUACUUACUCUAAUCUCCAAAGAAAAAGAUACCCACUUUUGUUUUGAUAAUGUAGUCUCUGAUGGGUGCUUAAUGGUGGUUCGUAAAGAGGCUAUUGAUUGGGUUUUGAGGGUAAAAGCUCACUAUGGUUUCACUGCUUUGACUGGUGUUCUUGCUGUGAACUACUUUGAUAGGUUCAUUUCAAGUUUAAAUUUUCCAAGAGACAAGCCUUGGAUGGGUCAACUUGCUGCUGUGGCUUGUUUGUCUCUGGCUGCCAAAGUGGAGGAGACCCAAGUGCCUCUUCUUUUAGACUUGCAAGUGGAGGAAUCAAAGUAUGUUUUCGAAGCCAAGACUAUAAAGAGAAUGGAGCUUCUGGUGCUCUCUACUCUUCAGUGGAGGAUGAAUCCUGUGACUCCAAUUUCCUUCUUUGAUCACAUUAUAAGGAGGCUUGGACUAAAGAAUCAAUUGCAUUGGGAAUUUUUUAGGAGGUGUGAGCGUUUACUUCUCUCUGUCAUUGUCGAUUCAAGGUUCAUGAGUUAUCUUCCUUCUACGUUGGCCACCGCAACUAUGCUGCAUGUUAUUAAGGAGGCGGAGCCUUGUAAUCAAGUGGAAUACCAGCAUCAGCUUAUGUCUGUGAUCAAAAUCAGUGAGGAUAAAUUGAACGAGUGUUACAAGCUCAUUUUGGAGCUUUCAGGCAGUGAGAAUCAAAGCUGCAAGAGAAAGUAUCCAUUGACACCCAGUAGUCCAAAUGGAGUCAUUGAUGCAUACUUCAGCUGCGAUAGCUCAAAUGAGUCGUGGGCUGUGUCGUCAACAGCCUCAUCAUCACCAGUGUCUCGAUUCAAAAGAAAUAGAACCCAGGAUAAGCAGAUGCGGGUGCCCUCACUAAAUCGUUUGUCUGUAGAUGUGCUUGGCAGUCCUCACUAAUAUUUACUUGUCCUUUUGUCUACUACAAAACAUGUCAUUAUAACAUUUCUCUGUUUUGCAUAUUAAUUGUAUUAUGCAGUUCUUGAGGCGCAACCUUUUUGUGCUUUACCGAUUAUCAAUGUAUUUCGGGCGUAAAAUUUGAAACUUAAUUCAUUCUCAGU
This 1442-nucleotide unclassified non-coding RNA is filed under the name Hevea brasiliensis (rubber tree). Lineage: Eukaryota; Viridiplantae; Streptophyta; Magnoliopsida; Malpighiales; Euphorbiaceae. The record is from RNAcentral.